AUGAUUGUUUUUUCAAAAGAGUACUUCAAGUUAAGCUGACUGUUUUGAACCUCCUGAACAUAAAGGUAGAUGGAACUGUUCUUAUUUACAAAUAAACUCAAAAGCUUUUGAUCUACCAACAAUA
Molecule: small nucleolar RNA, 124 nt
Filed under: Sorex araneus (European shrew)
Lineage: Eukaryota; Metazoa; Chordata; Mammalia; Eulipotyphla; Soricidae
Description: Small Cajal body specific RNA 15 (ENSSARG00000019319.1)
Source: RNAcentral